AGAAAGUGAAACAACAUUUUUCAAACACAAAUGUUAUUCAUUUGAUGAGUCAUAUGAUCUAAUGUCCACAAACAUUACAUCUUUCUCAAGACCUCACAAAGCCAAAACUGAGGCAAACCAAAAAAGAAUACACAUUACCUGCUCAAGCCUUCAAUGGUAGGCUUAAAAAUAAGCUUAGCAGCCAAAGCUAAAACUGGACCAAGCUGGGGAUGCAGAUCGUUUCCAUCUCGGUGACACUAAUGUGGAAUUCAUUGGGUCGUGUUCCUCGAUAGGUUAAGUCAAAAUAUGUUUGCGCAGGUUCAUUAUAAUAUCCUGAAAGGCUGGUUUGCAGAGCUAGAGCGCUCAAGCCUCGCUUUCUUAACCUUUGUCUUUUUGCUUGCAAAAUCUUGGAAAAGGUUUGGUCCACCAAAUUCAAUUUUGGAGCUCCUAAUCUUCCUCCUCUUACCUGUGUCAUAUUCCUCAUCCCACUCAUCCCCAAUGUACCCAAUGGUGACACAAUUUCCGUUCUGUGCUUCUACACCUUUCAAGGAACGAACUUCAACGUCGUCCCAACGAGCAACGCUGGACUCCAACCCUCUGGUAAGCAUAUUUAACAGACCUUUCCGUGUUGCAACUACUUUAGUCUCUUUAGAAUCAGUAGACUGUCUAUUGUCAACACCUUGACUUCCUACUGGUGCAAACCUAGAGCUUUUUUGUGGUUGUUUGUCAUUUGCUAAUACAGUGCCAUUGUUUACAACUCUUUCGUCAUUAACUGUAUUCCUCAGCAGAUCCCCAUUGUGCCCAGCAGUACUGGAAACUUUCUCAUUGGAACCAAGUUUUGACUUCUUUCUUUGAGACUGCAUUGGAGAAGAUACCAAAGUAUGGGAUAAUUUGGAUGUAGAUGGCCCAAGAUCAGAAUUGCUCUCAUCCAUGGAACUGGGAUUGCUACGCUUUCUCUUUCCAAUUCUAUGAUUCAUUCGUUUUUUCUUCCUAUUCAGUCCCAAAGCUGGAUCUAAGAUCAUAAAACUGAGAUGCAACUUGGUGACACGACUCUUGAACGACUUCUUUUUGGCUUUCAAGCAUGCCUUGUCAAUAGCUACCUUUUCUGCCGAGCUAGUCAUAGUUGGUUGGCUCAGUACUCCAGCGGAUUCAGCAACUGCUUUUCUCUGUCCAACAUCAUUGUUAACUUCAACAGCUGAACCACCUAAACUGCCAUUGGAGAUGCCUUUUACCACUUGAAUGUUGGUGUCUGCCUUGCUGCAUUCCACUUGUUUGUUCAACAGUUUGGCAGGAGUGCUUGGAUCUUUGUCACUAUUUACGCUGCUAAAGUGAAAUGGUAUUGCAGCAGAGCAAGUCAACUCUUUGAUGGUUACAUUGCCAUUAGGUAGUGGGGUAGAGUCUCCGCAUCUUGCGUCCCCCUUGUUAUCAAGUCUAUGAGUUCCAUUGCAGACUGGAACAGCAGGAUUAGCUUUAAGUAAGGAUGGUCCAUCCUCUGCGUCUACAACAGAAGGGUCCUUUACGCUGUCACCUGUUUCUUGUACUUUCGGCAAAUUUUCUGGCUGUAUAGCCCCUCCGUGAGAAGAGAACCCAUUAACUACUGCACCAUUAACCUUUGGAGGUGUCAGAUCCUUUGUUGAAGUUCCCUUUGAAACUUCGGCACUUAAUGUCUCCCUUUGAUCUUUUGUACAAGAUAAGGAUCCCUCAUUCUUCACAUGAAAUCCAUUUUGAGCAGUAUCCUUAAAUCUCUGGCUGUGAUUAGAAGAUAUUUUAUUUCCUAUGCCAUUAGUAAUCACAUUAUCAUUGCGGGCAACAUCUACAGACUUCUUAGGCACAGGAGAUUUCUUAUCCCGGACAUAGAAUAACAUGUAUGCCUUCUGCUCUAACACCUUUCUCUCACUCACUUGAACAACCUGAUUGUCAUCAAGGGAGUACCAAUUUCCACUUGAAGUGCGAACAAAGCAAUAAUAAUGACCAGAAUGGGUGCUCCAACCUGCAUGAACCAGCACACCAUAGAGUGUGUACUUCAAUUCACCACUAUAGGUAUCAGAUACAAAAUGUUUCAAGUCUAAAGUAGGCCCGUAAUGAAUCUUUUUAUCGAUCUUUUGCCCAGGGACAUGUGAACCAAAUCGCUUCAAGUGGACAGUUAGGACAUGAGGUGCCCGGUCAAUUGUUAGCCGUUUAGUAGCCUUCACUUUCUGUUUGCACUGCUGACAUUGGUACUGCCUCUGACCACCAUCUAAGAGUUCUCUGGCAGUAAAAUGGUCAAGUGCUUUGAGUAGUGAAUCUGCCCUCAAAAUUUCUAGACUUAGAUCCAGAAAUGGAUCAAACUUGUCAGAGCAAAAUUUACACUGCAUGCACUGCACCUGACUGCGAAGACGCCCACCAAAUAUCUUAUGAACCAAACUUUUCUCAUAAGCACUGGGGGAUUCACUAGGCACUCCUGAAGGUAAGCAACAUUUAUGCAUCGACUCGAGCAGAUUCACCAUGUAUUCAUGUGCAUCCUCCUGUCUAGCAUUUCGAAAAUUCCGCGAUAUGCAUCGUAAGUUUGACACAAGAUCCUUGGGCGCCAGUAUUUUCCCAGUUGCCUGCAAAGCACGACUCACGUGUUUUUGGAUGGCGCAUAAAGCACAAAAACCAGCCAUACGACAGGAACUUUGAUGUUUCCCACUUUCCAAGUAUGCUGCUAAUGGCUCAGUGUAUGUCAGACACUGUAAUACUGAAUUGAGGAAGCAGGUGUUCCCAAGAUUUUGCAAGCCAGCUCCAAUUCUCAUAAUUUUUCUGAAAGCAAUUCCAAAGCUCACUUCCGGAUCCAUCCCAUUACUUUCCAUCACCACAUCACCGCCACCCUUUUUUCCGGCGCCGACAAGUGACCCAUUUUCUUUACGGGUCUCCGAACUCGGGUUCAGUGUUUCCAGCUGAAACCCACCAUUAUUUUUCCCACUGAUAAACCCAUUAAACGGUUUCCUCGCCAAAUGAAACUCAAUCUUCCGAUGAAACACCGACGACGACGUAUCCAAACCCGGAUCCGACCCAAUUAACCCAGAUAUUUCUUGACCCAAAUUUUCCUCCAUUUUAUCAAUUAUAGCUUCCCCCAUUAAACCCCUCUUCUUCUUUCCACAUAAAAGUAUCAAAAUCAAGCCUUUUUCAAGAAUACUGAGCUAUUUCUGCUUGUUUUCCUUUAUUUUUCACUCGUUUUUCAGCCUAAAACUAUGAACGAAUUGGGGCUUUCACCAUAAAUUCACUGAACAAUUGUGAAAAAAAAG
RNAcentral lists this unclassified non-coding RNA (3242 nucleotides) under Hevea brasiliensis (rubber tree). The record is from RNAcentral. Lineage: Eukaryota; Viridiplantae; Streptophyta; Magnoliopsida; Malpighiales; Euphorbiaceae.